UUUGAAAUCUGGCGUGCUCAGUGCGUCCGAGUUGUAAUCUAUAGAGGCGUUUUCCGUGCCGGACUGUGUCCAAGUCCCUUGGAACAGGGUAUCAAAGAGGGUGAUAAUCCCGUACUUGACACAAUGACCGGUGCUCUGUGAUACGUCUUCUACGAGUCGAGUUGUUUGGGAAUGCAGCUCAAAAUGGGUGGUGAGUUCCAUCUAAAGCUAAAUAUUGGCGAGAGACCGAUAGCGAACAAGUACCGUGAGGGAAAGAUGAAAAGCACUUUGGAAAGAGAGUUAAACAGUACGUGAAAUUGUUAAAAGGGAAACGAUUGAAGUCAGUCGUGACUGAGAGGCUCAGCCGGUUCUGCCGGUGUAUUCCCCUCAGUCGGGUCAACAUCAGUUUUGUUCGGUGGAUAAGGGCAGCUGGAAGGUAGCACCCUCGGGUGUGUUAUAGCCAGUUGUCGCAUACAUCGGAUGAGACUGAGGAAUGCAGCUCGCCUUUAUGGCCGGGGUUCGCCCACGUCCGAGCUUAGGAUGUUGACAUAAUGGCUUUAAACGACCCGUCUUGAAACACGGACCA
This 565-nucleotide ribosomal RNA is filed under the name Papiliotrema flavescens. RNAcentral describes it as "partial large subunit ribosomal RNA". It matches the Rfam family "Eukaryotic large subunit ribosomal RNA", at positions 114 to 668 of the family's 3401-position model. The record is from RNAcentral. Lineage: Eukaryota; Fungi; Basidiomycota; Tremellomycetes; Tremellales; Rhynchogastremaceae.